Molecule: transfer RNA, 85 nt
Organism: Felis catus (domestic cat)
Lineage: Eukaryota; Metazoa; Chordata; Mammalia; Carnivora; Felidae
Rfam family: tRNA
About the family: Transfer RNA (tRNA) molecules are approximately 80 nucleotides in length. Their secondary structure includes four short double-helical elements and three loops (D, anti-codon, and T loops).
Source: Rfam
ACCUGGGUGGCUCAGUUGGUUGAGCGUCUGACUUUGGCUCAGGUCAUAAUCCCACAGUUUGUGGGUUCAAGCCCCACAUCAGGCU